RNAcentral lists this long non-coding RNA (228 nucleotides) under Solanum tuberosum (potato). Its description in RNAcentral is "long non-coding RNA (STUB_LNC009157)". The record is from RNAcentral. Lineage: Eukaryota; Viridiplantae; Streptophyta; Magnoliopsida; Solanales; Solanaceae.
UUCACAUAUAGCUUCACAUAAAACUCAUUCACAUCAUUCCUUCACAUAUAGCUUCACAUAAAACUCAUUCACAUCAUUCCUUCACAUAUAGCUUCACAUAAAACUUUACAUAUAGCUUCAUAUAGGACUUUACAUAUAGCCUCAUAUGUGUAUAAUAAUACAACAAUAUAAUAACAUUCACAUAAUGCCCUUCAUGGCCUCAAUUCACAAUAAUACGACAAAUAACCA